GGGGGAAAGAGACGAGCAUAGGUUCCUCCCAAGAUGCCACCCGCUUCAUUCAAGUGCCUGGCAGCACUGUGUUCCUGUUAGAGCCACCAGCACAAGCACCAGACGAUGCUGAUCCAGGUGAAGGCCCCAGUGCAGCAGCAACCGCACAUGAUGGAGACGAUGAUGAGGAGGAGACCAUCUCUCUGGAUUCCAGAAGGCAUGAGGUAUCAUGUUAAGACUGUGAAAGUACUAUUUACUCUACAAUGGUGAGGAGUCCUCAUCAAAAUCAAAAAAUCUAAUUUCUUUUACAGGACCCAGAUGCUAUACAGUGGGAAAACCAGCCUGGCAACAUAGUGCGUAUUAAUAAAAGGACACCACAUCCUGCCAAAUUCCAGCUGCGCUAAUUGUAUUGUGUUCACAGAGCUCACAAGCUAUCAGAAAGUUGUAUGGCAACCACCUCCGGCGCCAAAUAGAACUGGCAGACAUAGACAUUCAGUACAAGAAGAAAAAGAUGGAAAAUCUUGCACUGGAGUCCGAAAUAAAAAAGAGGACAAUUAGGAAACUGGACCUUGAAAUAAAAAAAAAACUUGAGAGGGAGGUGAGAUAUGCCUUCAAUGUACACUGUAUGCUAACUGUAACACAAAUGUAUUAAUCAUUAUUUUUCUUUCCUCCCCCAGCUCCAAGAAGAUGACACAGCUCAAAAUAAAAAUUAGGUAUAUUCUCGUAAAGUCAAGUGAGCCAUGACAUAUGAGCUCUUAUUGUGAGCACACAGGACGGUGGCAUCUUUCUAAGGUUUUUUUAUUUUCCCAGCAAUCAGUACAACCAAGUCAUCGUUAUAAGGCAUCGCCCUCUUUUGCCCACCCCCCCAGCACCAGGUGUGGCCACUAGCCUAUAUGAAGGGCCAAAAUUGUGUGUUCCUUUCUGCUCUGACAAUGGCAUGCCCAUUCGUGCGAGAUGUGGUGGAUGAAGAAGCACUUGUGCUGAGGAGAGCCUUCAGGCGAGAAAGGGUCUUCAGGGACCGGUUGGACCCACUGGCCUUCCCUGAUGACCAUCUAUAUGAAAGAUACAGGCUUUCUGCAGAUGGCAUCAGGUAUCUAUGCAGACUACUGGGUCCCAGGAUUAAGCACCGCACUGCACGGAGCCAUGCACUGAGUGUGGAGCAAAUGGUUUGUGUGGCCUUGCGCUUUUUGCUAGUGGAGCCUUCCUGUACUCAGUGGGGGAUGCAGAACAGCUGAACAAGGCCACAAUUUGCCGCACAAUAAGGAGUGUGUGUCUGGCUAUCAAAGCAUUAGCAGAUGUCUUCAUCUCCUUCCCUGGCCACAGAAGACUCUGUGACAUCAAAGAGGAGUUCUAUAGGAUUGCAGGUUUCCCCAAUGUCAUUGGUGCAGUGGACUGCACACACAUAAGGAUAAAAGCCCCCUCAGGUGCCCAUGAGGCCGAUUUUUGUGAAUAGGAAAUCCUUUCACAGCAUUAAUGUUCAGAUGGUCUGCAAUGCUGACUGUGUGAUCAGCAAUGUUGUGGCAAAAUGGCCUGGCUCAGUCCAUGACUCCAGAAUCUUUCGGGCCUCUGAAGUCUAUCACAAGGUGAAUUCUCUGGUGUGUUGCUGGGAGACAGGGGUAUGGCUGCCAGCCUUUUCUCCUGACACCUUUCACAGACCCCCAGGAAGCACAGCAGGCCUACAACCAUGCCCAUGCCAGGACCAGGGCCAGAGUUGAAAUGACCUUUGGCCUCCUGAAGGCACGCUUUCACUGCCUUCACAAAUUAAGGGUCAGCCCUGUUAGGGCAUGUGAUAUUACUGUGGCUUGUGCUGUCCUCCACAAUGUGGCCUGCCUGAGGAAGGAGAGGGCCCCCAGAGUGCCACCAGCCAUGGACUGGGACAAUCCGGCAAUCUUCCCUGAUGACGACAGUGGUCGGCUGCUGAGGGACCAAUAUGUGUUGAAUUAUUUUAGUUAGUAUGUGUGCUUUCAAUUUUGGUUAAAUAUGUCCUGCGGUGGCAGAGGA
Long non-coding RNA from Oncorhynchus nerka (sockeye salmon), 1980 nucleotides. RefSeq lists it as uncharacterized. Lineage: Eukaryota; Metazoa; Chordata; Actinopteri; Salmoniformes; Salmonidae. The transcript has 6 exons. The record is from RefSeq and is a predicted model, not a curated record.